AUCUGCCCUCUGCCAAGGUUCUCGAGGUCUCCUUCCAGCCCCGGUGGUAAUCUCGCUCAGCGCCGCGUCCUCCC
Lynx canadensis (Canada lynx) is the source of this 74-nucleotide long non-coding RNA. RefSeq lists it as uncharacterized. The record is from RefSeq and is a predicted model, not a curated record. The transcript has 3 exons. Lineage: Eukaryota; Metazoa; Chordata; Mammalia; Carnivora; Felidae.